Long non-coding RNA from Varroa destructor (honeybee mite), 495 nucleotides. RefSeq lists it as uncharacterized. The record is from RefSeq and is a predicted model, not a curated record. NCBI's taxonomy places the organism in Eukaryota, Metazoa, Arthropoda, Arachnida, Mesostigmata, Varroidae.
CAAAAACCGAUCUGUUUAAUCUGGAAGUAAUUUUCUUGUGGUAAAGUUCUCCUUUUCGUAGUCUAAGCUAAACAACGAUUCUCAGCAAAAUCACCAGCGAGACCGGGUUCUACAUGAUCUCCGAUCUUAAGAGAUCGGAUUGAACCUUUGUUUCUAAUUAAGUCAUCCCUACCCGUUUUUUGGUCAUAGUGGAUUAGUUCGGUCACGAACUGUGUAAAGCCAUAUGCAGCACAUAAGUUGAGCAAGAUGUUCUUUUUAAACGAUUACACUGGAACGAUAAAACAGAACUCGUUUUAGAAUGAUUCCUCAGAUCGGCGAAGAUUUCGAAGUAAACUGGGUAGUGGAAGUAAACUCAAUCGCUUCAAAUGUUUCAACGAAAAUGCCGAAAACUAAAAAUGAAGUAGAGAACGGAUAAAGACGGUGUGGUAUACACAAGGCACAAUUCGCAUCUGGUGGACACCGUCGCCGUGGACGAGGUAUGAUGAAUUAACCUGU